GGAAGGAUCAUUAUUGAUUUUGAUUUGUUACCUUCUGUGCUGGCUCCGGCAUGUGCAUGUUGGUGACUUUCAUCCAAUACCCAUUUGUGAACCUUUGGCCUCAUGCUGGCUUUGGCUGGCAGAGGAUUUUACACAAACUUGAAUGUAACAGAAAGAUCUUGUUGUGCGCAAGCACUAAUAUACAACUUUCAACAACGGAUCUCUUGGCUCUCGCAUCGAUGAAGAACGCAGCGAAAUGCGAUAAGUAAUGUGAAUUGCAGAAUUCAGUGAAUCAUCGAAUCUUUGAACGCACCUUGCACCCAUUGGUAUUCCAAAGGGUAUGCUCGUUUGAGUGUCAUUGUACUCUCACACUCCAAUUUUGGAGAAGUGGACUUGGGUGUUGCUGCUGCGCAGUGGCUCAUCUUAAAUAUGCUAGUGCAACUCAUAGUUGGAUAUAGUACAGCGUGAUAAGUAUCUUCGCUGGCGCCUCAUGAAGAGGGUAUCUGAUUGGGAGCUCUGUGCUUCUAACAGUCCUGUCUGGGACAAUCUCUGACAACUUGGCCUCAAAUC
RNAcentral lists this unclassified non-coding RNA (549 nucleotides) under uncultured Sebacina. Its description in RNAcentral is "sequence contains ITS1, 5.8S rRNA gene, ITS2". The stretch from base 184 to 337 matches the Rfam family "5.8S ribosomal RNA". The record is from RNAcentral. Lineage: Eukaryota; Fungi; Basidiomycota; Agaricomycetes; Sebacinales; Sebacinaceae.